UUCGUUGGGUAGGGGAGCGUUCUGUAAGCCGUUGAAGGUGGCCUGUGAGGGUUGCUGGAGGUAUCAGAAGUGCGAAUGCUGACAUAAGUAACGAUAAAGCGGGUGAAAAGCCCGCUCGCCGGAAGACCAAGGGUUCCUGUCCAACGUUAAUCGGGGCAGGGUGAGUCGACCCCUAAGGCGAGGCCGAAAGGCGUAGUCGAUGGGAAACGGGUUAAUAUUCCCGUACUUGGUGUUACUGCGAAGGGGGGACGGAGAAGGCUAUGUUGGCCGGGCGACGGUUGUCCCGGUUUAAGCGUGUAGGUGUGUGUUCCAGGUAAAUCCGGUUCACUUUAACACUGAGGCGUGACGACGAGGCACUACGGUGCUGAAGCAACAAAUGCCCUGCUUCCAGGAAAAGCCUCUAAGCAUCAGGUAACAUCAAAUCGUACCCCAAACCGACACAGGUGGUCAGGUAGAGAAUACCAAGGCGCUUGAGAGAACUCGGGUGAAGGAACUAGGCAAAAUGGUGCCGUAACUUCGGGAGAAGGCACGCUGACACGUAGGUGAAGUGAUUUACUCAUGGAGCUGAAGUCAGUCGAAGAUACCAGCUGGCUGCAACUGUUUAUUAAAAACACAGCACUGUGCAAACACGAAAGUGGACGUAUACGGUGUGACGCCUGCCCGGUGCCGGAAGGUUAAUUGAUGGGGUCAGCGCAAGCGAAGCUCCUGAUCGAAGCCCCGGUAAACGGCGGCCGUAACUAUAACGGUCCUAAGGUAGCGAAAUUCCUUGUCGGGUAAGUUCCGACCUGCACGAAUGGCGUAAUGAUGGCCAGGCUGUCUCCACCCGAGACUCAGUGAAAUUGAACUCGCUGUGAAGAUGCAGUGUACCCGCGGCAAGACGGAAAGACCCCGUGAACCUUUACUAUAGCUUGACACUGAACAUUGAGCCUUGAUGUGUAGGAUAGGUGGGAGGCUUUGAAGCGUGGACGCCAGUCUGCGUGGAGCCGACCUUGAAAUACCACCCUUUAAUGUUUGAUGUUCUAACGUGGACCCGUAAUCCGGGUUGCGGACAGUGUCUGGUGGGUAGUUUGACUGGGGCGGUCUCCUCCUAAAGAGUAACGGAGGAGCACGAAGGUUGGCUAAUCCUGGUCGGACAUCAGGAGGUUAGUGCAAUGGCAUAAGCCAGCUUGACUGCGAGCGUGACGGCGCGAGCAGGUGCGAAAGCAGGUCAUAGUGAUCCGGUGGUUCUGAAUGGAAGGGCCAUCGCUCAACGGAUAAAAGGUACUCCGGGGAUAACAGGCUGAUACCGCCCAAGAGUUCAUAUCGACGGCGGUGUUUGGCACCUCGAUGUCGGCUCAUCACAUCCUGGGGCUGAAGUAGGUCCCAAGGGUAUGGCUGUUCGCCAUUUAAAGUGGUACGCGAGCUGGGUUUAGAACGUCGUGAGACAGUUCGGUCCCUAUCUGCCGUGGGCGCUGGAGAACUGAGGGGGGCUGCUCCUAGUACGAGAGGACCGGAGUGGACGCAUCACUGGUGUUCGGGUUGUCAUGCCAAUGGCACUGCCCGGUAGCUAAAUGC
This 1554-nucleotide ribosomal RNA is filed under the name Salmonella enterica subsp. enterica serovar Stanley. RNAcentral's name for it is "partial 23S ribosomal RNA". It matches the Rfam family "Bacterial large subunit ribosomal RNA", at positions 1220 to 2756 of the family's 2925-position model. Lineage: Bacteria; Pseudomonadati; Pseudomonadota; Gammaproteobacteria; Enterobacterales; Enterobacteriaceae. The record is from RNAcentral.